GACGAACGCUGGCGGCGUGCUUAACACAUGCAAGUCGAACGGAAAGGCCCUGCUUUUGUGGGGUGCUCGAGUGGCGAACGGGUGAGUAACACGUGAGUAACCUGCCCUUGACUUUGGGAUAACUUCAGGAAACUGGGGCUAAUACCGUAUAGGAGCUCCUGCUGCAUGGUGGGGGUUGGAAAUUUUCGGCGGUUGGGGAUGGACUCGCGGCUUAUCAGCUUGUUGGUGGGGUAGUGGCUUACCAAGGCUUUGACGGUUAGCCGGCCUGAGAGGGUGACCGGCCACAUUGGGACUGAGAUACGGCCCAGACUCCUACGGGAGGCAGCAGUGGGGAAUAUUGCACAAUGGGCGGAAGCCUGAUGCAGCAACGCCGGGUGCGGGAUGACGGCCUUCGGGUUGUAAACCGCUUUCGCCUGUGACGAAGCGUGAGUGACGGUAAUGGGUAAAGAAGCACCGGCUAACUACGUG
This 468-nucleotide ribosomal RNA is filed under the name uncultured bacterium. RNAcentral's name for it is "partial 16S ribosomal RNA". It matches the Rfam family "Bacterial small subunit ribosomal RNA", at positions 28 to 507 of the family's 1533-position model. The record is from RNAcentral.